Molecule: ribosomal RNA, 1138 nt
Filed under: Bacillus subtilis
Lineage: Bacteria; Bacillati; Bacillota; Bacilli; Caryophanales; Bacillaceae
Description: bacterial SSU rRNA
Rfam family: Bacterial small subunit ribosomal RNA
Source: RNAcentral
AACGGCUCACCAAGGCAACUCUCGAUGCGUAGCCGACCUGAGAGGGUGAUUUCGGCCACACUGGGACUGAGACACGGCCCAGACCUACGGGAGGCAGCAGUAGGGAACUUCCGCAAUGGACGAAAGUCUGACGGAGCAACGCCGCGUGAGUGAUGAAGGUUUUUCCGGAUCGUAAAGCUCUGUUGUUAGGGAAGAACAAGUACCGUUCGAAAGGGCGGUACCUUGACGGUACCUAACCAGAAAGCCACGGCUAACUACGUGCCAGCAGCCGCGGUAAUACGUAGGUGGCAAGCGUUGUCCUGAGGAAUUAUUGGGCGUAAAGGGCUCGCAGGCGGUUUCCGUUUAAGUCUGAUGACUGAAAGCCCCCGGCUCAACCGGGGAGGGUCAUUGGAAACUGGGGAACUUGAGUGCGAAGAGAGAGUGGAAUUCCACGUGUAGCGGUGAAAUGCGUAGAGAUGUGGAGGAACACCAGUGGCGAAGGCGACUCUCUGGUCUGUAACUGACGCUGAGGAGCGAAAGCGUGGGGAGCGAACAGGAUUAGACCCUGUCGGUAGUCCACGCCGUAAACGAUGAGUGCUAAGUGUUAGGGGGUUUCCGCCCCUUAGUGCUGCAGCUAACGCAUUAAGCACUCCGCCUGGGGAGUACGGUCGCAAGACUGAGGAACUCAAAGGAAUUGACGGGGGAGCCCGCACAAGCGGUGGAGCAUGUGGUUUAAUUCGAAGCAACGCGAAGAACCUUACCAGGUCUUGACAUCCUCUGACAAUCCUAGAGAUAGGACGUCCUUCGGGGGCAGAGUGACAGGUGGUGCAUGGUUGUCGUCAGCUCGUGUCGUGAGAUGUUGGGUUAAGUCCCGCAACGAGCGCAACCCUUGAUCUUAGUUGCCAGCAUUCAGUUGGGCACUCUAAGGUGACUGCGUGACAAACCGGAGGAAGGGGGAUGACGUCAAAUCAUCAUGCCCCUUAUGACCUGGGCUACACACGUGCUACAAUGGACAGAACAAAGGGCAGCGAAACCGCGAGGUUAAGCCAAUCCCAAAUCUGUUCUCAGUUCGGAUCGCAGUCUGCACGUACUCGACUGCGUGAAGCUGGCGUAAUCGCUAGUAAUCGCGGAUUUAAACAGCAUGCCGCGGUGAAUACGU